RNAcentral lists this ribosomal RNA (497 nucleotides) under uncultured bacterium. RNAcentral's name for it is "partial 16S ribosomal RNA". It matches the Rfam family "Bacterial small subunit ribosomal RNA", at positions 28 to 507 of the family's 1533-position model. The record is from RNAcentral.
GAUGAACGCUGGCGGCGUGCCUAAUACAUGCAAGUCGAGCGAACAGACGAGGAGCUUGCUCCUCUGACGUUAGCGGCGGACGGGUGAGUAACACGUGGAUAACCUACCUAUAAGACUGGGAUAACUUCGGGAAACCGGAGCUAAUACCGGAUAAUAUAUUGAACCGCAUGGUUCAAUAGUGAAAGACGGUUUUGCUGUCACUUAUAGAUGGAUCCGCGCCGCAUUAGCUAGUUGGUAAGGUAACGGCUUACCAAGGCAACGAUGCGUGGCCGACCUGAGAGGGUGAUCGGCCACACUGGAACUGAGACACGGUCCAGACUCCUACGGGAGGCAGCAGUAGGGAAUCUUCCGCAAUGGGCGAAAGCUUGACGGAGCAACGCCGCGUGAGUGACGAAGGUCUUCGGAUCGUAAAACUCUGUUAUUAGGGAAGAACAAAUGUGUAAGUAACUAUGCACGUCUUGACGGUACCUAAUCAGAAAGCCACGGCUAACUACGUG